Non-coding RNA from Odocoileus virginianus texanus, 1593 nucleotides. Lineage: Eukaryota; Metazoa; Chordata; Mammalia; Artiodactyla; Cervidae. The record is from the annotation of a RefSeq genome assembly.
UCCUCGCUGACUCCCUCGCCUGUCACAUCUGCUGGGAAGCUCGGUCUAGCUCACUGUUUCAGCCAUGCUGCCGGUCCCAGCACUGCUUCUGGUUUUCCUGGCUCCUGUCACACAGGUAUCUUCCAACAUGGAAGAGGACAAGUUGUCAGUCAUGAGGGCUACUGGGUCAUCUGUUGUAAUCGAUUGUGAUCUUACGCACAACUAUAUCCACUGGUACAAAUUCCAGGAGGGAGCUGUACCCCGACGCCUUCUCUACUACGAUGUCUACAACUCAAAGGUUGUGUUGGAACCAGGAACCAGCCAAGGGAAAUACCACGUUUACAAAGGCACAGGGAAGGGCUACACAAUUGUAAUCUCAAACUUGCAAGAAAGUGAUUCUGGCACGUACUACUGUGCCUUCUGGGAGAAGCACAUUGGUUUAGACUUCCUUUACUCUGCACUGGAAAUUUUGCUUGUGGCUGCCAGAACAGCCGUGAUACACAGGCGACACCAACGCCUGUCUCACUUCCUGACCCCAGUUCUUUUUACUCUGAAUGAAGAGAAAUCCUGAGCUCAACGCCCAGCCCCAGUCACUGCCACCUCAACAGCCUCCUCUCAAUAGCCAUUGUUUGUUAUGGUCAAAGAUUUUUCCUAAAAGCGGGUCUCCAUCUUAAGGCCCUAGGCAAGCAGCUGGUAGGCAGCACAUUCUUUUAACUUCCCUAGGAGCUGGUGGAGUCUAUUCAACCUUCUCUUGAGAACAGACAGGGCAUCUUGGAUUGAUCUAUUAAGGGGAAUAUUUAGGAGAACAAAAUGAAAGGUUAUUUUUAUUGAAUCAUUUAUCUGAUCAUUUUCCAGAGAAGGUAGCUAGGAAUGAAGCAUCUUUAUUAUUCAGGAUUAUGAAAUAUGAGCAAAGAUGGAGUGAAAACUUGGAUUCCUGAAGCCCAAGUUGGUAUCUGACCUAUCUUUUAGACAAAUUGAUAUUUUUCUCAUAUAACCAACCAGGGCAUGGAAUGUAGGAAAAGGGGGAUUGGUAUAGUUAUGCCAAUCAUAGUAUUCUACUUACACCUUCUGUUGAAGUUCAGUCCACAGCCAGAACUAUUCUGUGUUAAACAAGUAAAGCCAGAAGUUCUUUUCACUCCCACCCCAAAUAUUGACAUGACCAAGUUUCAAACUGGAAUGAGACUUAGACAUUUUUUUUCAAUAAUUCAAGUGUAAAGAACACUUCGGGUGAACAAUUAGACAAUGAGUGGUAUCUACAUCAACAGAAAAGUCUUGUAAGAAAGGGUGUGACUUUCUCAUUGGGCUAGGUUUAAUGACAUAAAAUUAAUACUGAAGUACAGAAAUGCCAUAUUCAUAUGUAUGUGGUCUCUUGUGUAUGCGUGUGGGCUAAGUUGCUUCAGUUGUGUCUGAUUCUGUGAGAUCCUAUGGACUGUAGCCUGCCAGGGGUAGUCUGUACUGUCCAUUGGGUUUUCCAGGCAAGAAUACUGGACUGGGUUGCAUGCCCUCCUCUAUGGGAUCUUUCCAACCCACGGAUUGAACCCGGGUUUCCUGCAUCUUCUGCAUUACAGGCAGAUUCUUCACCACUGAGUCACCAGGGGAGCCCCUCUUGUAUAU